RNAcentral lists this microRNA precursor (63 nucleotides) under Bombyx mori (domestic silkworm). RNAcentral describes it as "mir-2774 microRNA precursor family". It matches the Rfam family "mir-2774 microRNA precursor family". Lineage: Eukaryota; Metazoa; Arthropoda; Insecta; Lepidoptera; Bombycidae. The record is from Rfam by way of RNAcentral.
ACAACAUAAGGAUCGUCGGUCUACCGAGCAAUAUCAUUUGGUGGAAGGUCUUCCCUCCGUCGU